Molecule: long non-coding RNA, 937 nt
Filed under: Sarcophilus harrisii (Tasmanian devil)
Lineage: Eukaryota; Metazoa; Chordata; Mammalia; Dasyuromorphia; Dasyuridae
Description: lncRNA (ENSSHAG00000026562.1)
Source: RNAcentral
GGACUCUUCAUUAAGUCUAGUGUCACCCAGCUAUCAUGUACCAGAAACAAGACUUGAAAUCAGGUCUAACUCCAAGGAAUUGCUCUAAGGUUAAAUGACCUGCUCCCAAUCAUAGUUAUCAUCAAAGACAUGACUGACACCAGAUCUCAUCCAAGGCUGCCCCACACUAAACUUCUUUUCAGCAGCAGACCACCAGAUUUGAGAAUUGUUAUACAGAAAUAAACCUUAACCUGGAGGCAGUCUACAAGGUGUAACAAAAAAAUAAAACCAAUUGAGUUCCUUCACCCAACGUGGGGGCAAGACUGAAGACACAGAAGGCAGAUGUUUUGAAAAGUCAUCAGAUACACCCACUUAGCAAGGUCUUCCCUUAAAUGAUUAAAAGUUACAUCUGAGAGUAAGAAUCUCAUGCCUUUUGUCAGAUCAACUUGAAGAAACUGGUUGUAAAAUUUUCUGAGCAACUGCUUGUCUAGAGGGCAGGGGACAGUGGUGGUGAUGGUAAAUGUUUUGUCUUCCACGUUGGAGGAUGUUUGUUCAUGGUGGAGACCAGGGACGUAUACUAUGGAGCAAGUGAAUUGGCUCAAGAGAAGUCCUCUUUAUCUGGUUGUCAUUUGGCCUGGUUAGAAGUGCUCCUAUUUCUUAAGAUGGAGCAAAAUUAUAGCAAAGGUCCUUUGCAAGUGAAAAUGCCAGGUCUCAAAAGUCGUCUUCGCGGUCAGCAUAUCUUUUCCUGAAGUUUCUCACCCAAAGUUGCAAAGUUUGGGGUGCUGCAGAUAGCUCAUGUAUAAACAAAUAUGCAAAGAGGUUGAAUACCAAAGGGAAGAGUUAUGAAGAGAAUAACCCCUACUGGCAUAUUAGGGAUAUUUAUUUCCACAACAAAAGGCUUUUAUGGACUAGCAUCAGUGCCAUUUUGAAUCAUCUUUCUGCUUACCUAAAAGGCUUC